UACGUAGGGCGCAAGCGUUGUCCGGAAUUAUUGGGCGUAAAGAGCUCGUAGGCGGCUUGUCACGUCGGGUGUGAAAGCCCGGGGCUUAACCCCGGGUCUGCAUUCGAUACGGGCAGGCUAGAGUGUGGUAGGGGAGAUCGGAAUUCCUGGUGUAGCGGUGAAAUGCGCAGAUAUCAGGAGGAACACCGGUGGCGAAGGCGGCAUCCUGGACCAAUUCUGACGCUGAGGAGCGAAAGCCAGGGGAGCAAACGGG
Molecule: ribosomal RNA, 253 nt
Filed under: uncultured bacterium
Lineage: Bacteria
Description: partial 16S ribosomal RNA
Rfam family: Bacterial small subunit ribosomal RNA
Source: RNAcentral